UACGAGUGCCCCGAGCGUUAUCCGGAAUUAUUGGGCGUAAAGAGCGUGUAGGCGGCCAGGUAGGUCAGCUGUGAAAACUCGAGGCUCAACCUCGAGACGCCGGUUGAAACCAUCUGGCUAGAGUCCGGAAGAGGAGAGUGGAAUUCCUGGUGUAGCGGUGAAAUGCGCAGAUAUCAGGAAGAACACCCGUGGCUAAGGCGGCUCUCUAGUACGGUACUGACGCUGAGACGCGAAAGCGUGGGGAGCGAACAGG
Molecule: ribosomal RNA, 253 nt
Filed under: uncultured bacterium
Lineage: Bacteria
Description: partial 16S ribosomal RNA
Rfam family: Bacterial small subunit ribosomal RNA
Source: RNAcentral